GGGUUGUGAGGUUAAGCGACUAAGCGUACACGGUGGAUGCCCUGGCAGUCAGAGGCGAUGAAGGACGUGCUAAUCUGCGAUAAGCGUCGGUAAGGUGAUAUGAACCGUUAUAACCGGCGAUUUCCGAAUGGGGAAACCCAGUGUGUUUCGACACACUAUCAUUAACUGAAUCCAUAGGUUAAUGAGGCGAACCGGGGGAACUGAAACAUCUAAGUACCCCGAGGAAAAGAAAUCAACCGAGAUUCCCCCAGUAGCGGCGAGCGAACGGGGAGGAGCCCAGAGUCUGAAUCAGUGUGUGUGUUAGUGGAAGCGUCUGGAAAGGCGCGCGAUACAGGGUGACAGCCCCGUACACAAAAAUGCACAUACUGUGAGCUCGAUGAGUAGGGCGGGACACGUGGUAUCCUGUCUGAAUAUGGGGGGACCAUCCUCCAAGGCUAAAUACUCCUGACUGACCGAUAGUGAACCAGUACCGUGAGGGAAAGGCGAAAAGAACCCCGGCGAGGGGAGUGAAAAAGAACCUGAAACCGUGUACGUACAAGCAGUGGGAGCACGCUUAGGCGUGUGACUGCGUACCUUUUGUAUAAUGGGUCAGCGACUUAUAUUCUGUAGCAAGGUUAACCGAAUAGGGGAGCCGAAGGGAAACCGAGUCUUAACUGGGCGUUAAGUUGCAGGGUAUAGACCCGAAACCCGGUGAUCUAGCCAUGGGCAGGUUGAAGGUUGGGUAACACUAACUGGAGGACCGAACCGACUAAUGUUGAAAAAUUAGCGGAUGACUUGUGGCUGGGGGUGAAAGGCCAAUCAAACCGGGAGAUAGCUGGUUCUCCCCGAAAGCUAUUUAGGUAGCGCCUCGUGAAUUCAUCUCCGGGGGUAGAGCACUGUUUCGGCAAGGGGGUCAUCCCGACUUACCAACCCGAUGCAAACUGCGAAUACCGGAGAAUGUUAUCACGGGAGACACACGGCGGGUGCUAACGUCCGUCGUGAAGAGGGAAACAACCCAGACCGCCAGCUAAGGUCCCAAAGUCAUGGUUAAGUGGGAAACGAUGUGGGAAGGCCCAGACAGCCAGGAUGUUGGCUUAGAAGCAGCCAUCAUUUAAAGAAAGCGUAAUAGCUCACUGGUCGAGUCGGCCUGCGCGGAAGAUGUAACGGGGCUAAACCAUGCACCGAAGCUGCGGCAGCGACGCUUAUGCGUUGUUGGGUAGGGGAGCGUUCUGUAAGCCUGUGAAGGUGUGCUGUGAGGCAUGCUGGAGGUAUCAGAAGUGCGAAUGCUGACAUAAGUAACGAUAAAGCGGGUGAAAAGCCCGCUCGCCGGAAGACCAAGGGUUCCUGUCCAACGUUAAUCGGGGCAGGGUGAGUCGACCCCUAAGGCGAGGCCGAAAGGCGUAGUCGAUGGGAAACAGGUUAAUAUUCCUGUACUUGGUGUUACUGCGAAGGGGGGACGGAGAAGGCUAUGUUGGCCGGGCGACGGUUGUCCCGGUUUAAGCGUGUAGGCUGGUUUUCCAGGCAAAUCCGGAAAAUCAAGGCUGAGGCGUGAUGACGAGGCACUACGGUGCUGAAGCAACAAAUGCCCUGCUUCCAGGAAAAGCCUCUAAGCAUCAGGUAACAUCAAAUCGUACCCCAAACCGACACAGGUGGUCAGGUAGAGAAUACCAAGGCGCUUGAGAGAACUCGGGUGAAGGAACUAGGCAAAAUGGUGCCGUAACUUCGGGAGAAGGCACGCUGAUAUGUAGGUGAAGUCCCUUGCGGAUGGAGCUGAAAUCAGUCGAAGAUACCAGCUGGCUGCAACUGUUUAUUAAAAACACAGCACUGUGCAAACACGAAAGUGGACGUAUACGGUGUGACGCCUGCCCGGUGCCGGAAGGUUAAUUGAUGGGGUCAGCGCAAGCGAAGCUCUUGAUCGAAGCCCCGGUAAACGGCGGCCGUAACUAUAACGGUCCUAAGGUAGCGAAAUUCCUUGUCGGGUAAGUUCCGACCUGCACGAAUGGCGUAAUGAUGGCCAGGCUGUCUCCACCCGAGACUCAGUGAAAUUGAACUCGCUGUGAAGAUGCAGUGUACCCGCGGCAAGACGGAAAGACCCCGUGAACCUUUACUAUAGCUUGACACUGAACAUUGAGCCUUGAUGUGUAGGAUAGGUGGGAGGCUUUGAAGUGUGGACGCCAGUCUGCAUGGAGCCGACCUUGAAAUACCACCCUUUAAUGUUUGAUGUUCUAACGUUGACCCGUAAUCCGGGUUGCGGACAGUGUCUGGUGGGUAGUUUGACUGGGGCGGUCUCCUCCUAAAGAGUAACGGAGGAGCACGAAGGUUGGCUAAUCCUGGUCGGACAUCAGGAGGUUAGUGCAAUGGCAUAAGCCAGCUUGACUGCGAGCGUGACGGCGCGAGCAGGUGCGAAAGCAGGUCAUAGUGAUCCGGUGGUUCUGAAUGGAAGGGCCAUCGCUCAACGGAUAAAAGGUACUCCGGGGAUAACAGGCUGAUACCGCCCAAGAGUUCAUAUCGACGGCGGUGUUUGGCACCUCGAUGUCGGCUCAUCACAUCCUGGGGCUGAAGUAGGUCCCAAGGGUAUGGCUGUUCGCCAUUUAAAGUGGUACGCGAGCUGGGUUUAGAACGUCGUGAGACAGUUCGGUCCCUAUCUGCCGUGGGCGCUGGAGAACUGAGGGGGGCUGCUCCUAGUACGAGAGGACCGGAGUGGACGCAUCACUGGUGUUCGGGUUGUCAUGCCAAUGGCACUGCCCGGUAGCUAAAUGCGGAAGAGAUAAGUGCUGAAAGCAUCUAAGCACGAAACUUGCCCCGAGAUGAGUUCUCCCUGACCCUUUAAGGGUCCUGAAGGAACGUUGAAGACGACGACGUUGAUAGGCCGGGUGUGUAAGCGCAGCGAUGCGUUGAGCUAACCGGUACUAAUGAACCGUGAGGCUUAACCUUACAACGCCGAAGCUGUU
This 2930-nucleotide ribosomal RNA is filed under the name Escherichia coli. RNAcentral describes it as "bacterial LSU rRNA". It matches the Rfam family "Bacterial large subunit ribosomal RNA". The record is from RNAcentral. Lineage: Bacteria; Pseudomonadati; Pseudomonadota; Gammaproteobacteria; Enterobacterales; Enterobacteriaceae.